CACACCCGUUCCCAUCCCGAACACGGUAGUUAAGCUUCUCUGCGCCAAUGGUAGUUGGGGGCUUCCCCCUGCGAGAGUAGGUCGCUGCCGGGC
RNAcentral lists this ribosomal RNA (93 nucleotides) under Listeria monocytogenes. Lineage: Bacteria; Bacillati; Bacillota; Bacilli; Caryophanales; Listeriaceae. RNAcentral also lists the same sequence under 1 other name. The record is from RNAcentral.